Molecule: RNA transcript, 2920 nt
Organism: Musa acuminata AAA Group (dessert banana)
Lineage: Eukaryota; Viridiplantae; Streptophyta; Magnoliopsida; Zingiberales; Musaceae
Gene name: alpha-humulene synthase-like
Exons: 10
Source: RefSeq, a predicted model, not a curated record
GCCAUCCUCUCAUCACUUGCAUCCAGAUCAGAAUGGAGAACAUGAUUUCGCAGCCACACUUUCCAGGUGAUGAAGUGGUGAUUCGCAAGUCUGCAAGCUACCAUCCCACCGUUUGGGGUGAUUACUUUAUCUUACAGGCCCAGUCCUCCCCCGGUACACAGGAGUGCGAUACAAGGAUGCAAGAGAGAGCUGCAGAACUGAUGGAGCAGGUAAGAAGCAUGUUCAAGGACACUACCGACAUCUUGCAAACUAUGGACUUGGUCGAUUCAAUCCAGCUUCUUGGAUUGAGUUAUCACUUCGACAAAGAAAUAAGUGAAGCAUUAAAACGAGUCCAUGAUGCCGAUUUGAACUGUCAUGGUCUCUACGAGACUGCUCUCCGGUUUCGCCUGCUGAGACAACAAGGGUAUCAUGUGACCCCUGAUGUUUUUAACAAGUUCAAAGAUGAGGAAGGAAAUUUAUUGUCCACCAUGAAGGAUGAUCCAAAGGGACUUUUAAGCUUAUACAAUGCGGCUUAUCUACGGAUACAUGAGGAGACCAUACUCAAUGAAGCUAUUUCUUUUACAAGGGACCAGCUUGCGUCCAUGUUAAGUGAUCUCACACCACCAUUAGCAACGCAAGUGAGACUCUUCCUUGAGAGUCCUCUCUGUAGAAGAAUGAAAAGGCUCUUGGCACGAAAUUACAUCUCCAUCUACCAAGAGUGUGCGACACAAAAUGAUGCCUUACUAGAGCUGGCAAAGCUUGACCUCAAUCUACUGCAAUGUCUUCAUCGCGACGAGAUUAAGAGCAUCUCCAUAUGGUGGAAUGAUUUAUUCCUCACCAAAAAUCUAAGUUUUGCACGAGAUCGGGUGGUGGAAUGUUAUUAUUGGAUACUUGCGGUGUACUUUGAACCUCACUAUUCUCGUGCACGAGUGAUUACCACCAAGGUGAUGGCCAUGACUUCUAUCUUGGAUGAUAUCUAUGAUCUCUAUAGCACAUUGGAGGAGAGUCAACUACUCACUCAAGCAAUUCAAAGGUGGGAUGCCAAGGCUGUUCAUCAGCUACCAGAGUAUAUGAAGGGCUAUUUUCUAAACCUAAUCCAUACCUUUGAGGAAUUCGAAAAUUUGCUAGCACCCAGUGAGAAGUAUCGUUUAUUUUAUCUUAAGGAAGCGAUGAAAGGUUUAUCAAGAUCCUAUCUCGAGGAAAACAAAUGGGCUGUCAAACAGUAUGUGCCAAAAUUAGAAGAACAUCUGCAAAUCUCGCUCAUCAGUUCAGCCUAUCCUAUGCUUGUUUGUGCUUGUUUUGUUGGAAUGGGGGAAGUAGCAACAAAGGAGGCAUUCGAGUGGGUUGCUAGUUUCCCUAAGAUCGUCAAGGCUUCUGCAUUAAUUGCUCGUAUCGUCAAUGACUUCGUUUCACAUGAGCUGGAGCAAACCAGGGAACAUGUUGCCUCCACAAUCCAAUGCUACAUGAAAGAGUUUGGUACAAAUGAGCAUGUGGCAUGCGAGAAUCUCCAAGUUUUGGUUGAAGACGCAUGGAAAGAUGUAAACGAAGAGUGCCUCAAUCCGACUGCAGUAUCCAUGCCUUUGCUUGAAAGAUGCCUUUAACAAGUUCAAAGCUGAGGGAGCGAGUUUCAUGUCUACGUUGGGCAGUGAUGUGAAGGGACUACUAAGCUUGUACAACGCAGCCUAUCUUGGGAUUCAUGGUGAGAUCAUUCUUGAUGAAGCCAUCUUAAACCACCAUUAACAACGCAAGUGUCUCUCCACCUCGAGACAACUCUCUGUAGAAGAAUGAUGCCAAGAAGAUGCCACCCAGGAGCUUGCAAAGUUGGACUACAAUUUGUUGUAGUCUCUUCAUCACGAGGAACUUGAGAACAUCACCAAAUGGGACGGGAAGGUUGUUCAUCAAUUACCAGAGUAGAUGAAGGAUUAUUAUCUAAAGUUAAUCCACACCUUUGAAGAGUUUGAAGAUUUAUUGGCUUUCGGUGAGAAAUAUCACAUAACAUAUCUCAAGGAAGCGGUACAGAUGAAAGAUUUAUCUAAAGCUUAUUUUGAGGAAUCCAAAUGGAGAGAUCAACAUUACGUGCCAACUUUGGAAGAACAUCUACGUGUUUCUCUAAUCAGUGCAGCGUAUCCUAUGCUCGAAUGUGCUUCUUUUGUUGGAAUGGGAGAAAUAGCAACUAAGGAGGCAUUUGAGUGGAUUACUAGUUUCCCAAAGAUUAUCCGAGCUUCUGCAAUAAUUUGUCGUAUCAUGGAUGACAUUACUUCACAAUCUACUCUAUUUUUAUCAUAUAAACAUUGUUCUUAAUAUAUUACCAAAUAUAGUACAAACGAAAAAUCUCAUCUGUAGAUUCCUAAAUUCCUCUCAUCUACAACUUGUUAUCGAUAGUAGUCUAAUAAUUUGUUUUAAUAUGAGGAACAUGUAAAUCCUGAAAAGAUCCCUCAGAAUUCAAUUUGUAGAUCAUUCAUUUUCUUUUUUCAUGAAAUUUGCAGUUGGAACAAACUAGGGCACAUGUUGCCUCCACAAUCCAAUGCUACAUGAAAGAGCACGGAACAAAUGUGCAAGUGGCUUGUCAGAAGCUCCAAGAUCUAGUUGAAGAUGCAUGGAAGGAUAUAAAUGAAGAGUGCCUCAAUCCAACUCUAUUCCCCAUUGCUUUACUUGAAAGGACUGUUAAUUUUUCACGAAUGGUGGAAAAUAUAUAUAAGCAAGUCGAUGGAUACACCAACUCCUCUACGAAGAUGAAGUACUUUAUCUCUUUGUUACUCGUACUUCCUAUUCCAAUUUGAUUGUAUGAGGAUGCUUACUCCUUUUAUUAAUCCUUUAUCCUGAAAUAUAUUUAAGCUUUUAUAAACUAAAAGCUGCACGUGUAAUGAAUGUUUACUGUAAUGGCGGGAAGAUCAAACCAAUAUUAUCCAUGGAGAAAUAAAUGCUUGCUUAAUAGUUCAAA